This 253-nucleotide ribosomal RNA is filed under the name uncultured bacterium. RNAcentral describes it as "partial 16S ribosomal RNA". It matches the Rfam family "Bacterial small subunit ribosomal RNA", at positions 524 to 776 of the family's 1533-position model. The record is from RNAcentral.
UACGGAGGUGGCUAGCGUUGUUCGGAAUUACUGGGCGUAAAGGGCGCGUAGGCGGCAUUGCAAGUCAGAUGUGAAAGCCCCGGGCUUAACUCGGGAACUGCAUCUGAAACUGCUUUGCUUGAGUCCUGGAGGGGGUAGUGGAAUUCCCAGUGUAGCGGUGAAAUGCGUAGAUAUCAGGAGGAACACCGGUGGCGAAGGCGGGUCUCUGGGCCGAUACUGACGCUGAGGAGCGAAAGCGUGGGGAGCAAACAGG